Molecule: unclassified non-coding RNA, 326 nt
Filed under: Hevea brasiliensis (rubber tree)
Lineage: Eukaryota; Viridiplantae; Streptophyta; Magnoliopsida; Malpighiales; Euphorbiaceae
Source: RNAcentral
GGUCGAUAUCCCAAUUUCUUAGACUAGUCAUGAUAACUUCCGACAACAUAUCUUCUGUCUGGGAAGGAUCAGUUGUUAAAAAAUUCAGAAUCUUCUUUUUAAGAUGCCAAGAGUCAUCUAUGUAAUGUGCCGUCAAGCACAAGUAUUCAGCAUCACCAUUUGCAGUCCAUGUAUCAGCACUAAGGCUGAUUUUCCCAGGCAGUUUGUCCAACUCUUCAUAUACUUUCUGUCUCUCCAUCAGAUAAAUCUCCCGGCAGUCGGCCUCAACUCCAUCAAAUGUUGCAAUGUCAAACAAGGGUUGAAGAUUCCUGACAAAUAUACGGAAA